GACGGAGGGUGCUAGCGUUGUUCGGAAUUACUGGGCGUAAAGGGCGCGUAGGCGGCCGUUUGCGUCGGAUGUGAAAGCCCGGGGCUCAACCCCGGAACGGCAUCCGAUACGGGACGGCUGGAGACCGGGAGAGGAGGGUGGAAUAGCCAGUGUAGUGGUGAAAUUCGUAGAUAUUGGCUGGAACACCGGUGGCGAAAGCGGCUCUCUGGCCCGGUUCUGACGCUGAGGCGCGAAAGCGUGGGGAGCAAACAGG
This 253-nucleotide ribosomal RNA is filed under the name uncultured bacterium. RNAcentral describes it as "partial 16S ribosomal RNA". It matches the Rfam family "Bacterial small subunit ribosomal RNA", at positions 524 to 776 of the family's 1533-position model. The record is from RNAcentral.